GAUGAACGCUGGCGGCGUGCCUAAUACAUGCAAGUCGAGCGAACAGACGAGGAGCUUGCUCCUCUGACGUUAGCGGCGGACGGGUGAGUAACACGUGGAUAACCUCCCUAUAAGACUGGGAUAACUUCGGGAAACCGGAGCUAAUACCGGAUAAUAUAUUGAACCGCAUGGUUCAAUAGUGAAAGACGGUUUUGCUGUCACUUAUAGAUGGAUCCGCGCUGCAUUAGCUGGUUGGUAAGGUAACGGCUUACCAAGGCAACGAUGCGUAGCCGACCUGAGAGGGUGGUAGGCCACACUGGAGCUGGGACGCCGUCCAGGCUCCUACGGUAGGCAGCAGUAGGGAAUCUUCCGCAAUGGGCGGAAGCUUUGCGCAGCAACGCCGCGUGUGUGAUGAAAGUCUUCGGAUCGUAAAACCCUGUUAUUAGGGAAGAACAAAUUUGGAAGGAACUAUGCACGGCUUGACGGUACCUAAUCAGAAAGCCACGGCUAACUACGUG
Molecule: ribosomal RNA, 497 nt
Filed under: uncultured bacterium
Lineage: Bacteria
Description: partial 16S ribosomal RNA
Rfam family: Bacterial small subunit ribosomal RNA
Source: RNAcentral